ACUUCAGAAGAUUACACAGGCUUCUGGCAGCCUUUUGAUGAAAUAAAGCACUCAAUGACUGAACCGUCCGAAUCUCCUGGCACUGCCAACAGCAGCAAGAAGAAAAAAGGAAUGAUGGGACGGCUCGGCUGUGGAGCCGGUUAUUGCAAGGAGUCAUUACGGGAACAAAAUUCAGGUUGGGGUGCAGUGAAACCGGAGAUGAGAGUCAGAUUGUCAAUUUAGAGCAGUGUUGAGUGUAGAAAGCAGAGUGCAAAUAGGAUUAGUCAUUCAGUGUCGGACUGGAGGAGGAGAACCAGCCGGAAUGGUGGCGUCUCCGUAGAUUCCCAGAUAAUCUCCAUCCUAAAGGAGAUCAGUUCACAUUGUUGAUGCCGCAGGAUUAUUUCUCAUGACACUAGAUUGAUGCCACCAUAUGGAGGUUAUAACACAAAUCAAGCGAGUUUUCCCACUGAUUGUUAGUAGACAAAGCUGCUUCUGUUGUACUGAUCAUGUUUAUCUCCAGGCUUUUGUUACCUGCUGGUCAAUUCCCACAGCAUCCAGGCCGUGGUACAUUAUGUUGACCCAGCCGUCCUUUGAGGCCAGUACAAACAGGGACAUGAGAGCCUGGAGGAGACACACAAAUGGACUGUGUAAGGAGGUAGAUAACAGACCUGGACACCAAGAAUGCCAAAGAUGAUGAAGAAGGCACAGCAGAUUAAGACGAUGUUGCCGAUGGGCUUGAGGGAUGUGAUGAGUGUCUCCACGACAAGCUUCAGUCCUGGUGCCCUGCUGAUCACCCUGGAGGGCAAAGAGAUAGGAAAGAUGAUAAAAAAUGGAAAGAGACUCUUCAAAAAUAAAUAAAACAGUUACCCUCCCAACCUGAGGGGGCGCAGCGUCCUGAGCAGCCUGAGAACACGGAGGACUCCCAGGAUUUUUGCUCCGCCCGCCAUGGACACCACGAUAUCAAUGAGGGACACGAAGACAAGGAAACCAUCCAGGAUGUUCCAGCUGCUCCUGAGGUAGGCUUUCUCCCCCAGGUAGAGACCCAUGGACACCACCUGAAGACAGAUUCUCAUAUUCUGUAAAUGGUUUCAAAGGAACGGCAACUGGGCACUGGGACAAGACAGUGGGGGAGGGGGGGGGGACAAAGGUGGGAAACAAGGGGAAACAUUUAAAUAAAAUGAAGUAUUCAAACACAGCAGCGGCAAUCUUUGAGACACUUUAGCUUCAUGGUGUCCCUGCAAUGAUCAACCCACAGAAUUAAAGCGCUGCAUGAGGGCUUAUCAAGCCCUUUAUGUGGAGGCUGCAUUUUGCCCGACUGUUUUGUGAUGGAGGGAAAAUUCUGUCAUUACAAAAGAACUCGAAAGAGGGUUUUACCAUCUUUAUCCCGCACAUUUGUGCUGACACUGCACUCUGCCAUAAAUCCUCUUAAAUCAAACACACUCUAAAGUCUCAAAGCUGUCUGACACAUCAGCUCCAUAGAGACGUCCAAGAGUGGAAGCGAGACUUCCUCAUUGCGCCCUGGUGGGGUACCAGUAAAUAUUUAACAUAAUCACACUUUUAUGGAGUUUGCAAUUAUCCUAGUAUAUUUUUCAGGGCUUUAGAGAGACUUUGGGAGUCAACCUGGAGGCUCUUAGAGGUCAGGGGAGACUAAUGAGAAAAGUUACUGGUUUUAGUGGGACAAAGAGGCUAAACUGGGAUCAAUCAAUCCAGGUAACACCAUUUAGACACUUUUGGCUGAGCAGAGGAGGAGGAGGGAGACGGGAACUUUAUGAAGAGACACGAUUGAGUGGCUGGAGAUUAAAAAUUGUGUGGAGACUGUGAGAUAGCAAUCGAAGGUCGGGGUGUCAGAGAAAAGCAACAAAGCUAAUGGAAUCAAAGCGUAGAGGAUGGAAGAAAAGCUGCAGAUGUUUCCACAUCAUCUGGGCUGUAGAGCAGGAGGCACGAUGACGUUGUGGAGUAUCUGACUCUUUCUUAAGAUCUAUUUGGAAUAAAAAAUCUCCACAGCUUCUUCGAUACUGAACUCCAAGACGGUCACCACAGCAACACAAAGAAAGUGAAAAAAGGGUUUAAAGGACGGGAGCUGGUGAUUGUUAGGGAAUCACUUAAAUAAUGUACAGGCUCAGAACCAGAAGGUGAGAAAGCAGAAUAAUAAAGGCCGUAAAAGGGUGGCAAAGCCGACACCAGUAUAGAGAAACAAAAGAAGCGUGUCCGGGUCCAAAACCCUCAGUGUAUUAAGACACAUCAUCGUUCCUGGCGUGGCACAGAUCUCAGCUCUGUCACAUUGGAUAUGACAGGCCUUUCGUCAUCUUUCA
Molecule: long non-coding RNA, 2291 nt
Filed under: Takifugu rubripes (torafugu)
Lineage: Eukaryota; Metazoa; Chordata; Actinopteri; Tetraodontiformes; Tetraodontidae
Description: lncRNA (ENSTRUG00000031751.1)
Source: RNAcentral